GAUGAACGCUGGCGGCGUGCCUAAUACAUGCAAGUCGAGCGAACAGACGAGGAGCUUGCUCCUUUGACGUUAGCGGCGGACGGGUGAGUAACACGUAGGUAACCUACCUAUAAGACUGGGAUAACUUCGGGAAACCGGAGCUAAUACCGGUGAAUAUUUCGAACCGCAUGGUUCGAUAGUGAAAGAUGGCUUUGCUAUCACUUAUAGAUGGACCUGCGCCGGAUUAGCUAGUUGGUAAGGUAACGGCUUACCAAGGCAACGAUACGUAGCCGACCUGAGAGGGUGAUCGGCCACACUGGAACUGAGACACGGUCCAGACUCCUACGGGAGGCAGCAGUAGGGAAUCUUCCGCAAUGGGCGAAAGCCUGACGGAGCAACGCCGCGUGAGUGAUGAAGGUCUUCGGAUCGUAAAACUCUGUUAUUAGGGAAGAACAAACGUGUAAGUAACUGUGCACGUCUUGACGGUACCUAAUCAGAAAGCCACGGCUAACUACGUGCCAGCCGCCGCGGUAA
Molecule: ribosomal RNA, 513 nt
Filed under: uncultured bacterium
Lineage: Bacteria
Description: partial 16S ribosomal RNA
Rfam family: Bacterial small subunit ribosomal RNA
Source: RNAcentral